UACGGGGGGGGCAAGCGGUUGUUCGGAAUUACUGGGCGUAAAGGGCUCGUAGGCGGCCAACUAAGUCAGACGUGAAAUCCCUCGGCUUAACCGGGGAACUGCGGUCUGAUACUGGAUGGCUUGAAUCCGGGAGAGGGAUGCGGAAUUCCAGGUGUAGCGGAUGAAAUGCGUAGAUAUCUGGAGGAACACCGGUGGCGAAGGCG
RNAcentral lists this ribosomal RNA (203 nucleotides) under uncultured bacterium. Its description in RNAcentral is "partial 16S ribosomal RNA". It matches the Rfam family "Bacterial small subunit ribosomal RNA", at positions 524 to 723 of the family's 1533-position model. The record is from RNAcentral.